RNAcentral lists this small RNA (28 nucleotides) under Bombyx mori (domestic silkworm). RNAcentral's name for it is "ovarian small RNA-34324". Lineage: Eukaryota; Metazoa; Arthropoda; Insecta; Lepidoptera; Bombycidae. The record is from RNAcentral.
UGCUUGUACCGACACCGACCCUCCGCAU